UUACGGCCAUAUCACGUUGGUACCCCGGCUCCUAUAAUAUCAAUGAAGUUAAACAAGGUCGAGCUUGGUCAGUACUUAGAUAGGUGUCAGCCUGGGAAUAACAGGUGUUGUAA
Acanthosepion pharaonis is the source of this 113-nucleotide non-coding RNA. NCBI's taxonomy places the organism in Eukaryota, Metazoa, Mollusca, Cephalopoda, Sepiida, Sepiidae. The record is from the annotation of a GenBank genome assembly.